AGGUUGACCUCGGAUCAUGUAGGGAUACC
Molecule: ribosomal RNA, 29 nt
Filed under: Aspergillus fumigatus
Lineage: Eukaryota; Fungi; Ascomycota; Eurotiomycetes; Eurotiales; Aspergillaceae
Description: partial 28S ribosomal RNA
Source: RNAcentral